This 360-nucleotide ribosomal RNA is filed under the name Triticum aestivum (bread wheat). Its description in RNAcentral is "partial small subunit ribosomal RNA". Lineage: Eukaryota; Viridiplantae; Streptophyta; Magnoliopsida; Poales; Poaceae. The record is from RNAcentral.
AUGGCGCUGCGUUCUCUGCUGACGAAGGUGCCGGCCCUUGGUCUCAGGUCUCGGGGGCCCGUCCACGCGCUCUCGCCGCCGCCGGCUGCUCGGCUUUUGUCCAGUGGUGGUCCGGGGGGACAAAUCAUUUCUGAAGGAAGUCCUACUACCAUAUAUUCUGAAGAAGUAAAAGCCCUGGAAACAGACUGCGAAAGGCUCCAGGAGAAGAUACACAGGGACAUGGAUAGUUUUUCUGAACUUCUGAGGUCUGAUGCUGAAUAUUAUCGAAGGCUUACCAAGCAACUUAAAAUGGUGGACACUGCAUGUGGUGCUGCUAUAGUCCUGGGUGUGUCGGCAGCAGUUUUUAUGACGGUUAUUUGA